Molecule: transfer RNA, 118 nt
Filed under: Nematostella vectensis (starlet sea anemone)
Lineage: Eukaryota; Metazoa; Cnidaria; Anthozoa; Actiniaria; Edwardsiidae
Rfam family: tRNA
About the family: Transfer RNA (tRNA) molecules are approximately 80 nucleotides in length. Their secondary structure includes four short double-helical elements and three loops (D, anti-codon, and T loops).
Source: Rfam by way of RNAcentral
GUCAGGAUGGCCGAGCGGUCAAAAGCGCCAGACUCAAGGUUUAAUUCCUUCUCAUAAAUACAUGGGAGAGUGUUCAGGAAUCCGAAUGGAGGCGUGGGUUCGAAUCCCACUUCUGACA